GGAGCCCCGAGGAGCCCACCGCUCCCCGCCCAGCGGGGUGGCUCUCGCGAGACUUCCCGCCGUCGCCUGGCAACCGCCGUUAGGGUGGCGAAGGUGAACUGUAGGACGGCAAGACAGAAGCUGCUCUCAGUAAACAACACCAAUACAGUGAAUAUCAAAUGUUGCAGCCCGAUGAAACAAAAAUGGUUUGGGGUUGUUCUGUCUCAACAGUGGAAUGCCAAAGAUCUACUGCAGGCUGGCUCCACACCUUCCAUCCUACGAACUCAUCAUGAUGCCACUUUCCUGUCCCCACUUACCAAUCCUCCUUGAAUACAAUCUCAUGUUGGAAGCCGUUCUUGGCUUCAUAGGUUCAACAACUCUUCCCCUGGAAAAAGGAAAACAGAAAACAAGAAGAAGAGAAACUAAAACUAGUCCUAAAAGUGGAAAGGAAGUACAACCAGUGUGGUUAGGAGCGAAGCGCAUUAAAAACCGUUCUGGUAGGGCAUUUGAAUACGGUUGCAAUUUGAAAAGUGAGUAUUGUAGAGUUGUUUGUUCCAGCUGGUAUAUUUUAUCUUUAUAAUUAAUGCUGUUACUUCCCUUUUUCCCCCCCGCCGUUUGUCUUGCUUGUUUACGUUGUCAAUUGCAAGGUAAAAACCUCUUGAAGUCUAUGGAGAGAAACAUUUAUGACCCCAAUCAGUGAAAUCAAGGCUUGUUUUCUGUGUGGAAAAGGCAAGUGCACUUAUCCCCAUUCAAACUCCAGACAUCUUGGGAGACCUUGGGAGACCUUGAACUUCUGCCCAGGAGGAGUGUGAGUGAUUGUCCGCGAAACCACAUUUGGCACCAGGAACCAGGAAGUUUUCUGGCGGGCAAGGAUCCCCAGUUCAGAGUUCUGUUAGAGCGUGGUUGUACACUGUGGUCAGGUGCCCGCUCGCUCUCCAGGAAAGGGAUUCUAAAGUUUUCAAAUGCCCCCCGCCCAGCCCCCAGCCACAAAGCUGUUAUAAAAUAAAAUACAAGUCCUUCCUGGAUUUUCCAACUCUACUUCCUUUAGGAAGUUUAAGUCAAUGGGAAACAAAGCCUUAUUCAAAGGAUUAAAGCUCUAGUCAUUCUCUUUGUUUUGCAGCUUCAAUAAUACACUUUUCCUCCAAUGAACCAGAUUUUCAAUUCAUAAAUCUUGUAAAAAACAGGAAGUUUGGGGAAACACGUGCUGAUUGAUAACAAACAAGGGAUAUUUCUUGUACCGCAAAACUUCACCCAAGUAAAAGGGACAUCCUUUUUCAUUUGCCAUGUAUACAGUUGGCUUUCUGGAUGCGUUUUAGGAGAAGGCAGCGCGCCUCGGGGCCUGAAAAUAAAGUGGUUUUUUAAACAGCA
Molecule: long non-coding RNA, 1347 nt
Organism: Ornithorhynchus anatinus (platypus)
Lineage: Eukaryota; Metazoa; Chordata; Mammalia; Monotremata; Ornithorhynchidae
Exons: 4
Source: RefSeq, a predicted model, not a curated record